AAUAUAGUUACCGUAUAAUUCAUCCCUUUGAUCCAAAUGCUCAAGGUGACCUAGGGUUUAACUGCCAACCCUAAUAUGGUCAUCCACAUUGUAUUUCAAUUUUCAAAAUCCAUCACAUGGAUUAUCCCAGCUAAGGUUUUACUGAAUUGAAAUACACUGAUAUAUUAACUCCUACUUAUUCGGAGGGAUCAAUUCUAUCUUGACUCACACAUCGAGUUCACAAGUACUUGACUAUGUCCAGAAACUUUUCAUCACUGAAUUAGAAAUUCAGAUAGUUCGGCACCAAAGUAUAGUGAGUUGCUUGCAAGUCACCGUGGUAAUCU
This 323-nucleotide long non-coding RNA is filed under the name Elaeis guineensis (African oil palm). RNAcentral describes it as "long non-coding RNA (EGUI_LNC009452)". The record is from RNAcentral. Lineage: Eukaryota; Viridiplantae; Streptophyta; Magnoliopsida; Arecales; Arecaceae.